UAUGUGGUGUUGCAGCAGGGUAAAGUCGUCGCCGAGGGAUACAGGGACAACGAUGACGCUACUACUACUACUACUACUACUGGUCCUGCUGACAUGUUGUAUCCUGCAUU
Molecule: non-coding RNA, 110 nt
Filed under: uncultured Nitzschia
Lineage: Eukaryota; Bacillariophyta; Bacillariophyceae; Bacillariales; Bacillariaceae
Source: RNAcentral